UGUUGUUGUUCACAUGAGUACUUUUA
Molecule: non-coding RNA, 26 nt
Filed under: Rattus norvegicus (Norway rat)
Lineage: Eukaryota; Metazoa; Chordata; Mammalia; Rodentia; Muridae
Source: RNAcentral